CCAGCAGCCGCGGUAAUUCCAGCUCCAAUAGCGUAUAUUAAAGUUGUUGCAGUUAAAAAGCUCGUAGUUGGAUUUCUGGCAGGAGCGUCCGGUCUUGCACUCUGUGCGGGAACUUGGAUGUCUCUAGCCAUCUUUGGGGAUAUCCUGUUUGGCAUUAAGUUGUCGGGCAGGGGAUACCCAUCGUUUACUGUGAAAAAAUUAGAGUGUUUAAAGCAGGCUUAUGCCGUUGAAUAUAUUAGCAUGGAAUAAUAAGGUAAGGCCCUGGUACUUAUUUUGUUGUUUGCGCCCCUUGGUAAUGAUUAAUAGAGACAGGCGGGGCUAUUCGUAUUGCAUUGUCAGAGGUGAAAUUCUUGGAUUUCUGGAAGACGAACUACUGCGAAAGCAUUUAGCAAGGAUGUUUUCAUUAAUCAAGAACGAAAGU
RNAcentral lists this ribosomal RNA (421 nucleotides) under uncultured Cyclotella. RNAcentral's name for it is "SSU rRNA". It matches the Rfam family "Eukaryotic small subunit ribosomal RNA", at positions 567 to 990 of the family's 1831-position model. The record is from RNAcentral. Lineage: Eukaryota; Bacillariophyta; Thalassiosirophyceae; Thalassiosirales; Thalassiosiraceae.